This 238-nucleotide ribosomal RNA is filed under the name Clostridioides difficile. RNAcentral's name for it is "partial 16S ribosomal RNA". It matches the Rfam family "Bacterial small subunit ribosomal RNA", at positions 685 to 923 of the family's 1533-position model. Lineage: Bacteria; Bacillati; Bacillota; Clostridia; Peptostreptococcales; Peptostreptococcaceae. The record is from RNAcentral.
AAUGCGUAGAUAUUAGGAGGAACACCAGUUGCGAAGGCGGCUCUCUGGACUGUAACUGACGCUGAGGCACGAAAGCGGGGGGAGCAAACAGGAUUAGAUACCCUGGUAGUCCACGCUGUAAACGAUGAGUACUAGGUGUCGGGGGUUACCCCCUUCGGGGCCGCAGCUAACGCAUUAAGUACUCCGCCUGGGAAGUACGCUCGCAAGAGUGAAACUCAAAGGAAUUGACGGGGACCCG